ACCAUUACAAUCCCCGUUCACGAGAUUCCGCUAUAUAUAUGGGAUUCUCGAAUCGAAUCCAUUAAUUUGAUCAUAUGUCAUUGAUCCAAAAUAAUUAAUCUCUCUUCGUCCUCCUCCUGGAGCCAAAAAUGUAAACAUGCUGUUAGUGAGCAAUGGAUCUUUGUUCGAGUUAGAAGCUAAGUAUGAGUCAGGAAAGACGAACAGAUAAUGCAUGUACAUGUAUGUUGAGGUUUUCAGCUAUGGAAAUGUGCCAUCUUGCUGUAUCUUGUCUCUUGGUGCCACAGUAUCCCCACCAUGUCCUCCCACGAUUGAGAUGGCACUCCUUACUGUCCUGCAUUUUCAUCUCUGAGCUGGAAUGGUCGCUGGUCCUCUGUCUCACAAAAACAAAAAACUUGCACUUUGCACCAUAAGCAUUGAGUCCACAAUAAAUUGAUCCAUCUGCCUUGUGUUCUGUCUAUUCUUCUUCAAAGCCAUCAAAGACGCUGCCAUCCCCUGGAUUUAAUUACAAUCCCCGUUCACGAGAUUCCGCUAUACAUGGGGUUCUCGAAUCGAAUCCACAAUCCAUUAAUUUUAUCAUAUGUCAUUGAUCCAAAAUAAUUAAUCUCUCUUCUUCCUCCUCCUGGAGCCAAAAAUGUAAACCUGCUGUUAGUGAGCAAUGGAUCUUUGUUCGAGUUAGAAGCCAAGUAAUUGUCACGAAAGACGAACAGAUAAUGGUAUAUGUAUGUUGAGGUUUUCAGCUAUGAAAUUGUGCCAUCUUGCUGUAUCUUGUCUCUUGGUGCCACAGUAU
This 787-nucleotide long non-coding RNA is filed under the name Musa acuminata (dwarf banana). RNAcentral describes it as "long non-coding RNA (MACU_LNC000301)". Lineage: Eukaryota; Viridiplantae; Streptophyta; Magnoliopsida; Zingiberales; Musaceae. The record is from RNAcentral.